This 347-nucleotide ribosomal RNA is filed under the name uncultured bacterium. RNAcentral's name for it is "partial 16S ribosomal RNA". It matches the Rfam family "Bacterial small subunit ribosomal RNA", at positions 338 to 682 of the family's 1533-position model. The record is from RNAcentral.
CCUACGGGUGGCAGCAGGGAGGAAUAGUGGUCAAUGGGCGGAAGCCUGAACCAGCCAAGUAGCGUGCAGGAUGACGGCCCUACGGGUGGUAAACUGCUUUUAUACGGGAAUAACGCGCCGUACGUGUAGGGCUUUGCAUGUACCGUAUGAAUAAGGACCGGCUAAUUCCGUGCCAGCAGCCGCGGUAAUACGGAAGGUCCGGGCGUUAUCCGGAUUUAUUGGGGUUAAAGGGAGCGUAGGCCGCAUGUCAAGCGGGCUGUGAAAUGUCCGGGCUCACCCCGGGCCUGGCAGCGCGAACUGGCGUGCUUGAGUCCGCGUCAAGCAGGCGGCAUUCGUCGUGUAGCGGU